UGAUUAAGUAAGAAAGGGCGUACGGUGGAUGCCUAGGCACUUGAAACUGAAGAAGGACGCAACAAACGGCGAAACGCGGCGGGGAGCUGUACGUAAGCAAAGAUCCGCCGGUAUCCGAAUGGGGGAACCCGGCAUGCGUAAUAGCAUGUCAUCCGCAGAUGAAUACAUAGUCUGCGAGAGAGGUACCCGGGGAACUGAAACAUCUAAGUACCCGGAGGAAAAGAAAACAACAGUGAUUCCCUGAGUAGCGGCGAGCGAAAGGGGAGGAGCCCAAACCAGACCGAGGUCUGGGGUUGAAGGACCGCGAUACGGCAAGAAUCAUGGUAGGAGAACGGCAUUGAAAGGCCGACCGGAGAGGGUGCAAGUCCCGUAUCCGAAACCGUGAGGAAGCCCAGCGGGAUCCUGAGUACGGCGAGACACGAGAAAUCUUGUCGGAAGCAGGCGGGACCAUCCGUCAAGGCUAAAUAUAAGCAAGUGACCGAUAGUGAACCAGUACCGUGAGGGAAAGGUGAAAAGAACCGCGGGAGCGGAGUGAAAUAGAACCUGAAACCGUAUGCUUACAAGAAGUCAGAGCACGUUAAGGUGUGAUGGCGUGCCUUUUGUAGAAUGAACCGGCGAGUUAUGUUAUCGUGCGAGGUUAAGCAGGAGAUGCGGAGCCGAAGCGAAAGCGAGUCUUAAUAGGGCGGCAGUACGAUGACAUAGACCCGAAACCGUGUGAUCUAGCCAUGACCAGGUUGAAGUUCAGGUGAAACUGAAUGGAGGACCGAACCGACCCCCGUUGAAAAGUUGGCGGAUGAGUUGUGGCUAGGGGAGAAAUUCCAAUCGAACACGGAUAUAGCUGGUUCUCCCCGAAAUAGCUUUAGGGCUAGCGUCGAGGAUGAGUCUUGUGGAGGUAGAGCACUGAAUGUACGAUGGCCCCAUCCCGGGGUACUGAGUAUAAUCAAACUCCGAAUGCCAUGAGAUAUUCCCGGCAGUCAGACCGUGGGUGAUAAGGUCCAUGGUCAAAAGGGAAACAGCCCAGACCGCCAGUUAAGGUCCCAAAAUGUAUGCUAAGUGGAAAAGGAUGUGGGGAUGCACAGACAACUAGGAGGUUGGCUCAGAAGCAGCCAUCCUUCAAAGAGUGCGUAACAGCUCACUAGUCGAGUGACCCUGCGCCGAAAAUGUACCGGGGCUAAGCAUACUACCGAAGCUGCGGAUUUGUAGUAAUACAAGUGGUAGGGGAGCGUUCCAUGCACGUGGAAGCCAUACCGAAAGGAGUGGUGGAGAGCAUGGAAGUGAGAAUGCCGGUGUGAGUAGCGAGAUGCAGGUGAGAAUCCUGCACACCGAUAGCCCAAGGAUUCCAGGGGAAGGUUCGUCCGCCCUGGGUAAGUCGGGACCUAAGGCGAGGCCGAAAGGCGUAGUCGAUGGAAAACAGGCAGAUAUUCCUGUACCCGCGAUGGAAAUGAAGGAAUGACGGAGAAGGCUAGCAUGAGCCACUUAUUGGAUUGUGGUCGAAGCGAAUAGCAGGUGCAUAGUAAAAUGCGUGCACGGAAUGUAAAACGUGACAGGUAAGCGAAACCCCUGGGGAGUAGCGAAGCAUGCGAGGCCAGCUUCCAGGAAAAGUUUCUAGUGCUAAUUCCAUAGCGGCCCGUACCAAAACCGACACAGGUGGGCAAGGAGAGUAUCCUGAGGUGAGCGAGAGAACUGUUGCCAAGGAACUCGGCAAAAUGACUCCGUAAGUUAGCGAGAAGGAGUGCUUAUGAAAGUAAGCCGCAGUGAAGAGGCCCAAGCGACUGUUUAACUAAAACACAGCUCUCUGCGAAGUCGCAAGACGAAGUAUAGGGGGUGACGCCUGCCCGGUGCUGGAAGGUUAAGAGGAUUUGUCAGUUUCGACGAAGCAAUGAAUUGAAGCCCCAGUGAACGGCGGCCGUAACUAUAACGGUCCUAAGGUAGCGAAAUUCCUUGUCAGGUAAGUUCUGACCCGCACGAAAGGCGUAACGAUUUGGGCGCUGUCUCGGCAGCAGACUCGGUGAAAUCUUAGUACCUGUGAAAAUGCAGGUUACCCGCAACUAGACGGAAAGACCCCAUGGAGCUUUACUGCAGCCUGAUAUUGGAUUUUGAUCAGAGAUGUACAGGAUAGGUGGGAGACGAAGAAGGAUGCACGCCAGUGUAUCUGGAGUCGACGUUGGGAUACCACUCUUGUCUGAUUGGAGUUCUAACCUGCGUCCAUGAAGCUGGACGGGGGACCGUGUCAGGCAGGCAGUUUGACUGGGGCGGUCGCCUCCCAAAGAGUAACGGAGGCGCCCAAAGGUACGCUCAGAUUGGACGGAAAUCAAUCGGCGAGUGCAAAUGCAGAAGCGUGCUUGACUGUGAGACAAACAGGUCGAACAGGGACGAAAGUCGGGAUUAGUGAUCCGGCGGUGCCGAAUGGAAGGGCCGUCGCUCAACGGAUAAAAGCUACCCUGGGGAUAACAGGCUGAUCUCGCCCAAGAGUUCACAUCGACGGCGAGGUUUGGCACCUCGAUGUCGGCUCAUCGCAUCCUGGAGCUGAAUUCGGUUCCAAGGGUUGGGCUGUCCGCCCAUUAAAGCGGUACGCGAGCUGGGUUCAGAACGUCGUGAGACAGUUCGGUCCCUAUCUGUUGUGGGCGUAGGAGAUUUGAGGAGAGCUGUCCUUAGUACGAGAGGACCGGGAUGGACCUACCGCUGGUGCACCGGUUGUUGUGCCAACAGCAUAGCCGGGUAGCUAAGUAGGGAAGGGAUAAGCGCUGAAAGCAUCUAAGCGCGAAGCCUACUCCAAGAUGAGAUCUCCCAUACGCAAGUAGUAAGACCCCUUGAAGACGACGAGGUAGAUAGGUCAGGGAUGGAAGCGCAGCGAUGCGUGGAGUUGACUGAUACUAAUAGGUCGAGGACUUAAUCAAA
RNAcentral lists this ribosomal RNA (2898 nucleotides) under Erysipelotrichaceae bacterium AM17-60. RNAcentral describes it as "23S ribosomal RNA". It matches the Rfam family "Bacterial large subunit ribosomal RNA". Lineage: Bacteria; Bacillati; Bacillota; Erysipelotrichia; Erysipelotrichales; Erysipelotrichaceae. The record is from RNAcentral.